GAUGAACGCUAGCGGCAGGCCUAACACAUGCAAGUCGAGGGGCAGCACAUAAAAGUACUUGUACUUUUUGGUGGCGACCGGCGCACGGGUGCGUAACGCGUAUGCAACCUACCUUUAACAGGGGGAUAAUCCGGAGAAAUCUGGUCUAAUACCCCGUAAUAAUAUAUAAGGCAUCUUAUAUAUUUGAAAGUUCCGGCGGUUAAAGAUGGGCAUGCGUUGUAUUAGUUAGUUGGUGAGGUAACGGCUCACCAAGGCUACGAUACAUAGGGGGACUGAGAGGUUAACCCCCCACACUGGUACUGAGACACGGACCAGACUCCUACGGGAGGCAGCAGUGAGGAAUAUUGGUCAAUGGACGCAAGUCUGAACCAGCCAUGCCGCGUGCAGGAUGACGGCUCUAUGAGUUGUAAACUGCUUUUGCAGAGGGGUAAACCCGGAUACGUGUAUCCGGCUGAAAGUACUCUGCGAAUAAGGAUCGGCUAACUCCGUGCCAGCAGCCGCCGUAAGAC
Molecule: ribosomal RNA, 509 nt
Filed under: uncultured bacterium
Lineage: Bacteria
Description: bacterial SSU rRNA
Rfam family: Bacterial small subunit ribosomal RNA
Source: RNAcentral